This 388-nucleotide ribosomal RNA is filed under the name uncultured bacterium. RNAcentral describes it as "bacterial SSU rRNA". It matches the Rfam family "Bacterial small subunit ribosomal RNA", at positions 28 to 417 of the family's 1533-position model. The record is from RNAcentral.
GACGAACGCUGGCGGCGUGCUUAACACAUGCAAGUCGAGCGGUAAGGCCCUUUCGGGGGUACACGAGCGGCGAACGGGUGAGUAACACGUGGGUGACCUGCCCUCAGCUCUGGGAUAAGCCUGGGAAACUGGGUCUAAUACUGGAUAUGACUCCACGGUGCAUGUCGUGGGGUGGAAAGCCUUGUGCGGCUGAGGAUGGGCCCGCGGCCUAUCAGCUUGUUGGUGGGGUGANGGCCUACCAAGGCGACGACGGGUAGCCGGCCUGAGAGGGCGACCGGCCACACUGGGACUGAGACACGGCCCAGACUCCUACGGGAGGCAGCGGUGGGGAAUCUUGCGCAAUGGGCGAAAGCCUGACGCAGCGACGCCGCGUGAGGGAUGACGGCCU